GACGAACGCUGGCGGCGUGCCUAACACAUGCAAGUCGAACGAUACCGUCGGGUCUAGUGGGGCACGGGUGGGUGAGGCGUGGGAACCUGCGCUUAGGGUCGGAAUAACUCCCCGAAAGGGGUGCUAAUACCGGGUAAGUGCUUCGGACCAACGAUUUAUCGCCUUUGGAUGGGGCUGGGUUUGAUUAGCUAGUUGGUAGGGUAAAAGCCUAGCAAGGCGACGAUCCAUAGCUGGUCUGGGAGGAGGAACAGCCACACUGGGACUGAGACACGGCCCAGACUACUACGGGAGGCAGCAGUGGGGACUAUUGGAGCGUGGGCGAGAGAGUGAUCCAGCCAUGCGGCGUGUGAGAUGCAGGCGUUAGGGAUGUAAAGCUCUUUUACCCGGGAUGAUAUUGACAGUACCGGGAGAAUAAGCUCCGGCUAACUACGUG
Molecule: ribosomal RNA, 433 nt
Filed under: uncultured bacterium
Lineage: Bacteria
Description: partial 16S ribosomal RNA
Rfam family: Bacterial small subunit ribosomal RNA
Source: RNAcentral